GAAUGACAAACGUGAUAUAAAACGUAAAUUGCUUUAACAUUUUUGUAAUCUGUUGAGAACAAACUAUACUGUAUGAAGGUAAGUGAACCACUAAUAACUUGAGAAUUAUUGCUAAAAUUUAGAAAAAACCUUUAGGUUCCGUCAUUGCCAUUUAAUACUCUGUAUGGAAGAUUAUGGCUUCAUAACUUUGAAUGCAUUACCAAACACAUUUGGUUACCACUCAUUUAUUUUUAUUUUUAAUUUCUUUGAGCUGCGUUUUGUACAUAUUUGAACGUAAUUUCACAGGCAUUAAAAAAAUCGAAGAUACAAAUAUCAGUCGAAUACAGAUACAAAUCAUGUCAAAUAAAGAGACGAAAAUUUUAUAUUCAAUAAUCGCACUGUCAACAAAAAGUAUACAUGUAAAUAUGUAAGAAAUUAAAACAUAGAAAUGAAUCAAAUAUAUAUUAUUUAUCGUUAAGAGUGAGACACCGCUAUUUAAAAAAUAAAAUCACAAAAAUCCGAGGAAAAUUCAAAACGGAAAGUCCCCAAAAAAUGGCAAAAUCAUAUGUUCAAAUACAUCAAACGAUUGGAUAUCAACGGGUACAGGCAUGUUCUUAUGCAGGAAAUGAUGCAGUGAACCUGGUUUUAUACCUAGCUAAAACUCUUACUUGUAUGACAGUCGCAUCAAAUUCCAUAUACGCUUGUAUAUGGACAACGAUGCAUAAACAAAGCAAACAAGGCAUAAUAGAUAAAAAUGUCAAAAAAGGGGUUCAGCAGUCAACAUUGACUUUUAAUCUUCAUCACUCUAAAACAAACAAAUACGUAACAAAGAAGCACAAAAAGGCAUAUAUCAAAUUUAACAACCUAAUACUGUAACAUUGCUUUUUUAUUAUACGAUUUUAUAUUUCUAUGUUCAAUUCACUCAUAAAGGAUUGAUAAUUUUAAUUUUAAUUUGAUAAUGUUAACCUUCUUUACGAACGUUAUCUCGUUAUAUGAGAUUUUGAUGAAUUUUAUGCUUUUCUAAAUUGCAUUUAUGGUUCUAGUGCAUUAGUUUUUAAUGACUUACAUUAAACUAUCACAUGUGAAUGCACAUGCAUUCUUAGUGUAAUUGCACUCGGGUAAAACGUACCUUGUGUAUUUAUAAUGAAUUCUUCUUUCGUGCUCUUGCUUUAAGUGUUUAUUAAGCUAUCAUCUCUAUGGAAUGACAUAAAUAGGAAGAUCAAGCAUACUUGCUAGGAAGACACUUUAAUGAAAAUUAAGAAUUUCAAAAAAAGAAGUAGGCACAUUUGAAAUAGAACAUACAAAAGGCAAUGAUUUAAGAAUGUUUAGCUUCACAAGGUAGUGAUCGGAUCAUUGGCCCCCCUACAUUUGCCACUGCAAGGGUUCAUAUGGUCAUUCAAAAACUCUAUACUAUAGAAAGACGGAUUAUUCCACGGCAAAAUGUAAAUUACCAGGAUAUCAUUUAAUUAACUACAAUCUAUUCAAAACGAAACACACGGGCAACCACGGAUAUAUAAAGAUGUCAAGACGAGAUGAAUAGUGUUUGAUCAUCAUAUUGUAAAACAAUGACUUAAGAGGAAAAUCAGAAUAGAAUAGAUGAAAUAUUUUCAUACAUAUUUGUUCUUUAGUCUUGAAUGCAUACUUAUAGGACAUUCUUGUCAUCUUUGAAAAGACAUAUUCAUGGUUGCACUUUGUUGAUACAGCUGUUUUAAAAGCCACGCCUCUUUUGGGGAUAUAUAUAUAAUAUUCAUAGAUAUUUUGUUUUGUUUAAGUACUUGUUCUUUGAUAUGAUAUCUAUGUUUCAUCUUAUAGAGGUAUAACUUGGGAAUGUUACAAGUGUUCAAACACAUGGUAGCGGCGUAAAUGGAAAUCCGAGAAAGACUCAAAGUGAAGGUUGAAGAAGAACAGAAUUUAAUAUAAGUUUAAACCCUUAGAGGUUCGUUGCAUAAACAUGCUGAAAAUAUGUUUUUUUUUUGGUUUUGACGUACGAAUAAAUAAGUAGUGCAUAUCAACUUUCCGUUCUAGGAUAUACUUUUUUUACGAAACUUUAUAGUAAUCAUGCCAAGGGGGUUCCUGUGGAAAAUCUUAUUGCCUACAUUUAUUUCCUUAUGUUUUUUUUUUCUCUAAUCAUUAAUAUUUUAUUUUAUUUCAUAGUAAGCAACAUAAUCAGAAACAAGAAGUAUUUGUGCCAACUGAGGUGUAAAAAAUUGAAACAAAAAACAGUGAUAUUUUUUUCAGUUAAACAACAUACUGGAAAAAUGUUUGGGUGGUAAUAAAACAAACAUAAAAACGUACAUAGUCAUUACUGAUCGCUUUUCUGAAUUAAGUACAACAUACACGUAUUACGAAAGUGAUCAAGACCAAAUGCAAGCUACAACAAAAGUUAUAACUAGACCAGAAAGAUGUGGACGAGAAUGUAUGCAGACAGUCGCAGAAAGACUCAAUACAUACAUGACAUGGCAAUGUACUAGAAUAUGGCCGAAACACUUAGCAGAGUCAGGAUUCUUAAGAACAGGAAAAACGACCGUUCAGUGUUAUAAAUGUGGAAUAAUAUUAGAUACGGAUUACUUCAAGACAUUUCCGAAAACCAUUCAUAAGUUGGUAUCCCAUGAGUGUACCUUUUCUGUCGAACUUGGAAAGGGUGAACAAAUAUGAACUCUCAA
Molecule: long non-coding RNA, 2642 nt
Filed under: Mytilus galloprovincialis (Mediterranean mussel)
Lineage: Eukaryota; Metazoa; Mollusca; Bivalvia; Mytilida; Mytilidae
Source: RNAcentral